Molecule: RNA transcript, 1952 nt
Organism: Folsomia candida
Lineage: Eukaryota; Metazoa; Arthropoda; Collembola; Entomobryomorpha; Isotomidae
Gene name: neuroligin-1-like
Exons: 3
Source: RefSeq, a predicted model, not a curated record
CCCAGUGUUUGAAAUCGAAACAUUUUUCUGAAUUUGGUAAAUUUACAUUACCCAAAUUUUCCGUGGAUUUCGGCCCUAGUGUGGAUGGAAUUGUGAUAAAGUCUAAUUUUAGGGUGAAACAAAUUUAAUUUUUUAAAUUAUGAAUUAUUUUAAACUCAUUUUGAUAAUUGUCACAAAUAACAAAUAUCAAAUAACACUACUGUCAAACGGCAUACUUAGCGUAAAAUUUACAACGGCCUGACGUGGAUUCGUAUCUGUGUUAAAUACAGAAUUUUCGAAUUCCGUCAUCCCAUUCUAAGAUUCGGAAUUUGAUAGCCUUUUGUAAUUGGAUGUCCAUCUGAUGACCCAACUCCUAUAUUACUUGGAAGGUCGAGAAUUAAAUGACGGAAUAAAGCAAUUUGGCCAAAUGUUCUAGAAUUAUUGGGUAAUGUGAUAUUCUUUGGGAAAUUCUUGUCUGACUGGGAAUGACAGGAGAUUACAGUGAUGAAAUGUAAUAAGGAUUGACAUUUUGUCUACUUUUGCAGAUAAACAGCCCUCCGCCCAUGGGUAAGCGGGAAGUUGGAAAGAAAUACGAUAUCCUCGUGGGGUUAUCUUCGUUGGAGAAGUUGACCGAGUUUAGCGAGGUUUGUGAAAUAUUUUGAGAAAUUCCUACAUGGAGUGGUAAAAUGAUUAAUUUGGAAGAUUGUAUUUAAUUUAAUUUCAUGGAUGUGGAGUAGUCUAAACUUUUCACUUCUUGUAAUACGUAGUACGUAAAACAUGCUUGAGACUGGGACUUUUGUCAUAAGGAAUUAGACCACGAAUUACCUAAAUAAGCAAUUUUUAUUCCAACAUUCUGAGAUUUUCUAAAUUGGCGUGACAAUUAUACUUCCACCUUCGUUUCAAAAAAUUAAAUUUCGAAAACUUAAGUAUUAAUUUUUUCGCGAUUUUUUUAACGCUAAAGUUUCCUGUAACUCGCAGAAAAAUAUAUUUUUGGCAAAUUUAAAUCUUGUGUUAUAAUAUUAAAUGAAAAAGUGAAACCCUACCAAGCAAAAAGUAAUGUCAAUGUUAUCUCGAUUUUUAUCUCCAUGUUUUUACUACCCUGUCGUCGCAUUUGUUGAAUCUUGAGAUUCUUGUUGAGUCUCUUUCAUUUAAGUUUACAAGAAAAGUUUGACUCCCUUGUGAGGGUUGCACCUAUCUGUGGGAGGUUCACUGUCCCUCUACUUCCUCUCUAUUCUCGUCCCUGCUCUCUCUCUCGGGUGGGUGUGCCGGAUGGAGAUGAUGAGAUGGAUGGAUGGAUGGAUGAAGUCAAGGGAUGAAGGUAUGGGUGGUGAUGAUGGCCAAGCAGAAAAUGGCAAAUAAGAUGAAGGAAGACAGGAAUUCUGCUGCUUUACUCGUCCACUCUUUAUUCCAUACUGACUUCUCUUUCUCUCUUACAUUGUAUCAUGACGGCGUGUUAUUGUGGAGUUGGUUCGGCUGUCUGAAUGUAGAUGAUGGAUCUGGAAUUCGGGUUUGAGUCCCAUCGUCGGGACGCGAUAUUGCGAACGCUUGUCCGAAACUCGUACAGGUUCCAUAGAAACGAAAUUUUGACAACUAUCACCAACGAAUAUACCGACUGGGAGAGGACUGCCCAACAUCCCAUAAACACGAGAGACCUGGCCAUCAAUGCCGUAACUGAUUGUCUCGCCCUCGCCCCCUGGUGACAGUUUUGGACUCGUCAUUAGUGAAGAAAGCUUUUUUCUUCGUUUUCGAACACUCGACGAAAGAUGGCUUGUACAAUUAUCAUGUAAGUGAAAUGACACAUAAACAGAAUUAUUCUAUUAAGAAUAUGGACAAGGUUUUCUUUAAUAAAAAGAAUUGUAUGUUCUGUUUCCGAAAAAAAAUAUUCUUCCCCGGUAACUUUAUAUUUUAUAAAAUGUGGAACUUUAGAAAUAUUUUGUGUGUGGAAUAAAUUCCUCGGGAUUUUUGAAGCCAUA